GUACUUCCUACUUAAUGUAACCGCUUUCAAAGAGAGUCGCACUUACCAGCAAAUCAAGACACGGUAAGGGAGGUCUGAGGAAGGCAAGGACGCCGUUCAUAAGCGAAACCAACCACGCUUCGUUUCCUGUGGGCUAGGAAGGGCUCUGAGUUCCACAUACGCCCCUCAUUAGGCCAGUGGCUGAAGAAAUUGGGGCGAGUUUAUCACAUUCAGCUGAGGAGCUGUUUCUCCAGGGCUGAAGGGUUCAGGGCGGAAUUGAGACUGGGACCACUUUGCUUAACACGAUGAGCAAACGUGUGAUGUUCGGCCUUUUUGUUUUCACUCUUUAUCCAGGUGCUGUGAUGGGUGACCGUGACUUGGUCCAGCCCAGGGAACCCCAGAUAUCUGGAACUGAAGGCGGCUCCGUGACCUUCAGCUGUUCUUAUGAAACCAGCUACACUUCUGGUGUCUAUCUCUACUGGUACCGUCAGUAUCCGAACCGAGCUCCGCAGUACAUCCUGCGGAGAGGAACGAAGGAAGUCAGCUCUGUCAGUGAUACCGCAGGUUUCGCCCAGGAGAGGUUUUCUUCCCAGGCUGAUGGCAACUCCACAGCUCUGAACAUGACAGCCUUGGAGCUGGUAGACACAGCGGUGUAUUACUGCGCCCUGCAGCGGGCACAGUGACAGAGCCUCACCGCAGAGCUGUACAAAAACCCUCCCCUUCCCUUCACCUUCAGGGGCUCUGCAUGGAAGAGGGACCAGAGAGAACAUCCCCAUGACCCAGCAUUCGCCCCAGUGAGGGAUGCAGCGCUGGGCCACAGCUCAGACACACAGAUGCUGUCCUCCCUGUCAACAUCUCGCUGAUACAUUACAGAAUGUACACACACACA
This is a non-coding RNA of Dermochelys coriacea (leatherback sea turtle), 868 nucleotides long. The record is from the annotation of a RefSeq genome assembly. NCBI's taxonomy places the organism in Eukaryota, Metazoa, Chordata, Testudines, Dermochelyidae.